RNAcentral lists this ribosomal RNA (497 nucleotides) under uncultured bacterium. RNAcentral's name for it is "partial 16S ribosomal RNA". It matches the Rfam family "Bacterial small subunit ribosomal RNA", at positions 28 to 507 of the family's 1533-position model. The record is from RNAcentral.
GAUGAACGCUGGCGGCGUGCCUAAUACAUGCAAGUCGAGCGAACGGACGAGAAGCUUGUUUUUCUGAGGUUAGCGGCGGACGGGUGAGUAACGCGUGGAUAACCUACCUAUAAGACGGGGAUAACAUCGGGAAACCGGAGCUAAUACCGGAUAAUAUUUUGAACCGCAUGGUUCAAGAGUGAAAGACGCUCUUGCUGACACUUAAAGAGGGAUCCGCGCUGCAUUAGCUGGUUGGUAAGGUAACGGCCUACCAAGGCAACGAUGCAUAGCGGACCUGAGAGGGUGAUCGGCCACACUGGAACUGAGACACGGUCCAGACUCCUACGGGAGGCAGCAGUAGGGAAUCUUGCGCAAAGGGCGAAAGCCUGACGGAGCAACGCCGCGUGAGUGAUGAAGGUCUUCGGAUCGUAAAACCCUUUUAUUAGGAAAGAACAUAUGUGUAAGUAAAUGUGCAUAUCUUGACGGUACCUAAUCAGAAAGCCACGGCUAACUACGUG